This 253-nucleotide ribosomal RNA is filed under the name uncultured bacterium. Its description in RNAcentral is "partial 16S ribosomal RNA". It matches the Rfam family "Bacterial small subunit ribosomal RNA", at positions 524 to 776 of the family's 1533-position model. The record is from RNAcentral.
CACGUAGGGCGCAAGCGUUGUCCGGAAUUAUUGGGCGUAAAGAGCGUGUAGGCGGCCAGGUAGGUCGGCUGUGAAAACUCGAGGCUUAACCUCGAGCUGUCGGCGGAAACCAUCUGGCUAGAGUCCGGAAGAGGAGAAUGGAAUUCCCGGUGUAGCGGUGAAAUGCGCAGAUAUCGGGAAGAACACCCGUGGCGAAGGCGGUUCUCUGGGACGGUACUGACGCUGAGACGCGAAAGCGUGGGGAGCGAACAGG